Molecule: long non-coding RNA, 2522 nt
Organism: Drosophila novamexicana
Lineage: Eukaryota; Metazoa; Arthropoda; Insecta; Diptera; Drosophilidae
Exons: 2
Source: RefSeq, a predicted model, not a curated record
UUUAAUAUUAAGUCGUAUAUAACCAGCAACUAAAGUAGAGUAUUAUCUCUCGAGGUGGUCAGCGUAAUGUCAUCUCGCUCCCACGCCUCGGCGGUUGUGUUAGUUGCAUCUCCUCGCGUCAGUUUCGCACCUUAUACAUAAAGCGACAAGAAACGGCAUCAAAGAAUAAGACAAGCAAUCACGCCAUAGUUCCGUUAAAUAUCACAAGCGACAAAUGUAGCUGGCGUGGCGUAUCAGUUGCAUAGCCAAAGUGAGUUAUCCACGCGGUCACCUCGUUCACUUCGUCUUCAGCUGUGAAAACGAACAGACGCAACGGAGUCAUAACGUCUGCUCAUUUUUCUAAUUAACAUUGCUAAGAUCACACGUGUUAAACUUUUUCGGUUAUAAUCAAAAUUGAAGACAAACGUAUUUGGUUAAGAAGUAUUCGCGAACGCGACAUAGUGUUGGAACAGGGAGCGUUAGCAGCGCCCGACAAGCCCAGAUAUCGGCCGGUCUGCGUACGGCGCCCCCGCGCUCUAAACAUUAAACAUAAUUCGGCGACCGGCCGAAAGAGCCCCAUAAUCAAUCACCGCCCCUAUUUCGGCGAUUAUUCGGCGAAUUAGUUAAGCUCCAGUUCACACCGGCUGAGGCGCAGUUGGCUCAACUUAAAGUUUACACCGGUUCUUUUCAUCGCUAUAUAUUUGUCUAACGCUUAAAACGACCGAGUUGUGUCUUGCAUACCUUAUCUUACUCGGCAGAGUAUAGCCACGCUUGAUAGCGUGAAGCGUAGGUGUGACACAAAGGAGUGAAGGAGAAGUCUUUAUCUGGAAACGAAAUAGAGUUAACCGCAAUCGAAUAGUCUAGCUCGCUCGAUGUCUCGCGCGCAUGCGUUCUAGUUGAAACAAUCCGUCGUCAAGCCGCGUAGGAUUAUCAGCUGUUUGAUGUUGUCUGGAGGCCAGCCAAUCUGAGUUUGGAUUCUUAGUUCUUAAUUACUUUCUUUGCUUUCUUUAUUGUUUUUUUUUUAAUGUAACCUUAAUAUACAAAUUUCCUGUGAGUACAUAGUAGCGUUACCCGUAGCAGCGAUUUCCGUUUAAAUAAUUUUCUUUAUGCACAGCUACCAAAAGCUUUAAAGCACCACACCAACUGCACUUUCGAUGGGCCCAACGAACCUGCACCGAUGGAUAUAACAGUGAGUGACAAGUCCGAAUAUAACUUACAGUGAGUACGGCCUAUUAUUGGCGAACGAAUUAUUUAAUCGGUUUUAUCGCACUCGGAAUGCUCGUGUAUUAACAUGAAUAUAUAUAAUAGUUUAACACCGCCCUGUUACACCUGAGUCUAGGCAAAAGAAAACAAAAUACUAAAGAGUAAAGCAUUCUUAUAUGGAUCAGAUGAUUGUUAUCUGAAGUUUACUUUAAUUAAAAUGUACCGAUAAAUUGUACAGGAAGGUCCGUCGCCGGUACGAUCCUACGCUGAAGUCAUAUUGUUUAUGUUGAAUUAAAUAAAACAUUAGUGAAGGGGUAACCACCCAAAUUAAUCACGAGUUACCAAGGUUGGGAGGGUAAAGAAUGGGGAGCGAUCAACACCUACCGCACCCUAGCCACUGAAAUUCUCACAUAACAGUCCGCCGUUCUCAUUUUUAUUAAUUCUGUACGUGAGUACAGCCCGAAUACAUCUUAUUGGACCUUCAUCUUAUUAGUAUACAGUCAGUGCACUUAUCCUUUCUGAGCACAAAAGGAGUGAUAUGUGAAGGGAAGAGGAAAAGACCCACGCCAAAUCCGACGAGCAUAGUAUAGAGCAACGCUAGAAGUGCACACCUUCCGAAUCUCUUCACCUCUGCGGAAGAACAUCAACCGCACGAAGCUGGUGGCCUCUUGAAUAGAGCACAAGAUCGCAUACAUACCCUUCUGCAUGCUACAGAAAGUGGCGCCCAACGUGGGGCCCGAACGGCUAGGAGAAAUAAGCCCUACAUUAUAGCUCUCAAAUUUCACCCAUUUAAUAACAUAUUAAACAUUUACUAAAUUCCGUAAUUUUAUGAUUUGAAGUUUUCCAUAUCUGUCUUAUGAGACUGUUCUCUGGAGAAGCGAUUAUAAUUCGAGUGCUUACGGAUUAGUCGACCGAGUCGAAUCAUAUUUCAGGGAUAACUUUUAAGUUAUAGAAUUCACCCAGUUACCCAGGUUGUAGCGACCCGUUGAUAUGAAUGAAUCAUCGUCUCUAGGAAUAGCGAUACCUAUUACGAAUAGUUCGACCAGAGUGAAUAGACUCACAUACAACAAUACGCAUCUCGAUUCUGGGGUAACGAAUGCGAGAUUAGGUCGCGUAAUUAUGCGGAAAAGCAACUUAAGAAUAGUUGACCUGUAAAUACAAACCCGACCUCAGCAAUUAGAAGUAUCAGUAGUUUUCGGUAUUGGCGACGUUAUGUGAGAUUAUCCAGUUGGGAUAACAAUAUGACCAGCAUGGAGUCGGAAGGUGCGGACCGAAUUUAUUAUUAACAGUUCAGUUUAAAGUUUCAGUUAAAGUUUAAAAAAAAAAAAAAAAAAAAAAAA